RNAcentral lists this long non-coding RNA (669 nucleotides) under Mytilus galloprovincialis (Mediterranean mussel). The record is from RNAcentral. Lineage: Eukaryota; Metazoa; Mollusca; Bivalvia; Mytilida; Mytilidae.
CCCCAUUGCCAGGCCAGCGGCAGCCAUUUAGAAAAUUUUUGCUGUUUCCAUGGCAACGGCGGCCAUUUUGAAAAUUCGAAACUCAAAAGUUAAGUCUACAUAAGCUAGGCAAAAUUUGUUAUAAGUUUCAUUAAAUUUAAAGCAUUUUGAAGUUUUUCAUAAUUUUGCUGUUCCCAUGGUAACGGCGGCCAUUUUGAAUAUUCCAAAGUCAAACCCCGCUGCAAUUUUUUCCCUCCAUAAUCAUAUAUCAUCAUAUACCAUUUAAUGUCUCUAGAAUAAAUUUAACAUUGAUGUUCUGGAAUGUUCUGUGAAAAUUCAAAGUUUUGACCUUUUUGCAUUGUUUCCAUGGUAACAACAGAUAUUUUGGAAAUUCCAACGCCAAAUUCCACAUCUUCCAAUGUUGCUCAUCGUUACUGUGAAGUUUCAUGAAGUUUGGAGCAUUUUGAUAUUUUUGAAAUUUUUGGUGUAGUUUCCAUGGCAACAUAGUAGUUCCAAUGAGUGCCAAAAUCAUCCAACACCUGUAUAUAGUGGGCACCUACAUUGUAUUAAAAUAUAAUGAUUCUGAGUUAAAGCAUAUCCAAACAGUUCACCAAAACAAAAAACUGGAUUUUUUCACAUUUGUUCCGUUUCCAUGGUAACGGCAGCCAUCUUGAACCAUUCCAUGCUUCA